UUGAUCAUGGCUCAGGAUGAACGCUGGCGGCGUGCUUAACACAUGCAAGUCGAACGAAGCAUUUAGCGGGACAUUUCGGAUGGGAGUUAAAAUGACUGAGUGGCGGACGGGUGAGUAACGCGUGGAUAACCUACCAUAUACAGGGGGACAACAGUUGGAAACGACUGCUAAUACCGCAUAAGCGCACAGUGCCGCAUGGCACGGUGUGAAAAACUCCGGUGGUAUAUGAUGGAUCCGCGUCUGAUUAGCUAGUUGGUGAGGUAACGGCCCACCAAGGCAACGAUCAGUAGCCGACCUGAGAGGGUGACCGGCCACAUUGGGACUGAGACACGGCCCAAACUCCUACGGGAGGCAGCAGUGGGGAAUAUUGCACAAUGGGCGAAAGCCUGAUGCCAGCGACGCCGCGUGAGCGAAGAAGUAUUUCGGUAUGUAAAGCUCUAUCAGCAGGGAAGAAAAUGACGGUACCUGACUAAGAAGCCCCGGCUAACUACGUGCCAGCCGCCGC
RNAcentral lists this ribosomal RNA (505 nucleotides) under uncultured bacterium. RNAcentral describes it as "bacterial SSU rRNA". It matches the Rfam family "Bacterial small subunit ribosomal RNA", at positions 13 to 518 of the family's 1533-position model. The record is from RNAcentral.